UGAUACGUAGGGUGCGAGCGUUGUCCGGAUUUAUUGGGCGUAAAGAGCUUGUAGGUGGUUUGUUGCGUCGGGAGUGAAAACCUAGGGCUUAACCCUGGGCCUGCUUCUGAUACGGGCAGACUUGAGGAAGGUAGGGGAGAUCGGAAUUCCUGGUGGAGCGGUGGAAUGCGCAGAUAUCAGGAGGAACACCGGUGGCGAAGGCGGAUCUCUGGACCUUUCCUGACGCUGAGAAGCGAAAGCGUGGGGAGCAAACAGGCUUAGAUACCCUGGUAGUCCACGCCGUAAACGGUGGGUACUAGGUGUGGGGGACAUUCCACGUUCUCCGUGCCGUAGCUAACGCAUUAAGUACCCCGCCUGGGGAGUACGGCCGCAAGGCUAAAACUCAAAUGAAUUGACGG
This 398-nucleotide ribosomal RNA is filed under the name bacterium enrichment culture. RNAcentral describes it as "bacterial SSU rRNA". It matches the Rfam family "Bacterial small subunit ribosomal RNA", at positions 521 to 916 of the family's 1533-position model. The record is from RNAcentral.